ACCUGGGUGGCUCAGUCAGUUAAGCAUCUGACUUCAGCUCAGGUCAUAGUCUCACGUCCGUGGGUUCCAGCCCCACAUCAGGCU
RNAcentral lists this transfer RNA (84 nucleotides) under Felis catus (domestic cat). It matches the Rfam family "tRNA". From Rfam's summary of the family: Transfer RNA (tRNA) molecules are approximately 80 nucleotides in length. Their secondary structure includes four short double-helical elements and three loops (D, anti-codon, and T loops). RNAcentral also lists the same sequence under 2 other names. Lineage: Eukaryota; Metazoa; Chordata; Mammalia; Carnivora; Felidae. The record is from Rfam by way of RNAcentral.